GGUUACUGCUAUCGGUGUUCGCCUAAGCCAUGCGAGUCAUAUGUUCUUCGGAACAUGGCGUACUGCUCAGUAACACGUGGAUAACCUGCCCUUGGGUCCGGCAUAACCCCGGGAAACUGGGGAUAAUUCCGGAUAACGCAUAUAUGCUGGAAUGCUUUCUGCGUAAAAUGGAUUCGUCUGCCCAAGGAUGGGUCUGCGGCCUAUCAGGUAGUAGUGGGUGUAAUGUACCUACUAGCCGACGACGGGUACGGGUUGUGAGAGCAAGAGCCCGGAGAUGGAUUCUGAGACAUGAAUCCAGGCCCUACGGGGCGCAGCAGGCGCGAAAACUUUACAAUGCGGGAAACCGUGAUAAGGGGACACCGAGUGCCAGCAUCAUAUGCUGGCUGUCCGGGUGUGUAAAAUACACCCGUUAGCAAGGGCCGGGCAAGACCGGUGCCAGCCGCCGCGGUAACACCGGCGGCCCGAGUGGUGAUCGUGAUUAUUGGGUCUAAAGGGUCCGUAGCCGGUUUGGUCAGUCCUCCGGGAAAUCUGAUAGCUCAACUAUUAGGCUUUCGGGGGAUACUGCCAGGCUUGGAACCGGGAGAGGUAAGAGGUACUACAGGGGUAGGAGUGAAAUCUUGUAAUCCCUGUGGGACCACCUGUGGCGAAGGCGUCUUACCAGAACGGGUUCGACGGUGAGGGACGAAAGCUGGGGGCACGAACCGGAUUAGAUACCCGGGUAGUCCCAGCCGUAAACGAUGCUCGCUAGGUGUCAGGCAUGGCGCGACCGUGUCUGGUGCCGCAGGGAAGCCGUGAAGCGAGCCACCUGGGAAGUACGGCCGCAAGGCUGAAACUUAA
Molecule: ribosomal RNA, 837 nt
Filed under: uncultured archaeon
Lineage: Archaea
Description: bacterial SSU rRNA
Rfam family: Archaeal small subunit ribosomal RNA
Source: RNAcentral